UUUUUUUUUUCUAAAGAGGUCAUACUUGUCUUACUAGACAUAAUUAUAAUUACACUUGGACUAAAGACAAUUCAGAUCAUCUUCUUUGACAACUGCAAUUCACCCUCAGAGAGGUCAGAGAGCAGUGGGUAUGGGCACCAACAGAGACCCUUCAAAGGGUUGGUCAUCAGAGAGAGGGAAGCAGAACUGUUGUCUCUAAUGAAAUCGGGGCCAUCAUCAUUGAUCAUGUGGUGAACAGAGGCCCUAUGGCAGAGGCUGCCAGAUUAGUUGAUCCAAAUCUAAAAAGAUCAACUGUCAAUUCUAUCAUCCAAACCAAGGGUUUGGCCAAGAAAACCGGGAAUGGUGGUCGUGGCCCGUGUGCUGACCGACCAGCAAGAGUGUGCAGUGGUG
This is a non-coding RNA of Pimephales promelas (fathead minnow), 390 nucleotides long. The record is from RefSeq and is a predicted model, not a curated record. Lineage: Eukaryota; Metazoa; Chordata; Actinopteri; Cypriniformes; Leuciscidae.